Molecule: ribosomal RNA, 460 nt
Filed under: uncultured bacterium
Lineage: Bacteria
Description: bacterial SSU rRNA
Rfam family: Bacterial small subunit ribosomal RNA
Source: RNAcentral
AACGAACGCUGGCGGCAUGCCUAACACAUGCAAGUCGAACGAAGGCUUCGGCCUUAGUGGCGCACGGGUGCGUAACGCGUGGGAAUCUGCCCUUGGGUUCGGAAUAACUCAGAGAAAUUUGAGCUAAUACCGGAUGAUGACGUAAGUCCAAAGAUUUAUCGCCCAAGGAUGAGCCCGCGUAAGAUUAGCUAGUUGGUGGGGUAAAGGCCUACCAAGGCGACGAUCUUUAGCUGGUCUGAGAGGAUGAUCAGCCACACUGGGACUGAGACACGGCCCAGACUCCUACGGGAGGCAGCAGUGGGGAAUAUUGGACAAUGGGCGAAAGCCUGAUCCAGCAAUGCCGCGUGAGUGAUGAAGGCCUUAGGGUUGUAAAGCUCUUUUACCAGGGAUGAUAAUGACAGUACCUGGAGAAUAAGCUCCGGCUAACUACGUGCCAGCAGCCGCGGUAAGUGACGUCAGA